AUAACAUCAAUGACGAGAAGAGUAGUACGUAUGUCUUGCACUAAAGAGAGUCGGCGGGUGGUGAAAGCCGAUGUCAGGAUACGGGUGAAAAUCAUCUCUGAGAUGCAAAGCUGAAAAAUACAAAUGCGCAAGCCGAUAGGCGCUGCUGCUAGAUGUGGACAAUAUUUUUUAAAGGGUUACCCCUCGGUCUAAAUUCUAUUGUUCACCAAACACCAAAGUAAGCUUUUGCCGGAAAAGUCCACCGUUAACAUGGACCGCGUAUGAUAGUACGUUGAUCGAGAGCCGUAUAGGUUUUUGCCUAUUUCGGAAGUAGGGUGGUAACGCGAGCUAGCUCGUCCCUUCA
This 343-nucleotide non-coding RNA is filed under the name Heyndrickxia shackletonii. RNAcentral's name for it is "Bacillus shackletonii T-box sequence". It matches the Rfam family "T-box leader". Rfam says of the family: Uncharged tRNA acts as the effector for transcription antitermination of genes in the T-box leader family. T-boxes are found upstream of many aminoacyl-tRNA synthetase genes and some amino acid biosynthetic genes usually in Gram-positive bacteria. Lineage: Bacteria; Bacillati; Bacillota; Bacilli; Caryophanales; Bacillaceae. The record is from RNAcentral.